This 253-nucleotide ribosomal RNA is filed under the name uncultured bacterium. RNAcentral describes it as "partial 16S ribosomal RNA". It matches the Rfam family "Bacterial small subunit ribosomal RNA", at positions 524 to 776 of the family's 1533-position model. The record is from RNAcentral.
UACAGAGGGGGCAAGCGUUGGUCGGAAUUACUGGGCGUAAAGGGCGCGUAGGCGGCCUGUUAAGUCAGACGUGAAAUCCCUCGGCUCAACCGGGGAACUGCGUCUGAUACUGGCGGGCUUGAAUUCGGGAGAGGGAUGUGGAAUUCCAGGUGUAGCGGUGAAAUGCGUAGAUAUCUGGAGGAACACCGGUGGCGAAGGCGGCAUCCUGGACCGACAUUGACGCUGAGGCGCGAAAGCCAGGGGUGCAAACGGG